Molecule: unclassified non-coding RNA, 351 nt
Filed under: uncultured Sporobolomyces
Lineage: Eukaryota; Fungi; Basidiomycota
Description: partial contains 5.8S ribosomal RNA, internal transcribed spacer 2, and large subunit ribosomal RNA
Rfam family: 5.8S ribosomal RNA (bases 1-102)
Source: RNAcentral
AUGCGAUACGUAAUGUGAAUUGCAGAAUUCAGUGAAUCAUCGAAUCUUUGAACGCAUCUUGCGCUCUCUGGUAUUCCGGAGAGCAUGUCUGUUUGAGUGUCAUGAAUUCUUCAACCCAACUGUUUCUUGUAAACAGCUGGUGUUUGGAUUCUGAGCGCUGCUGGCUUCGUGCCUAGCUCGUUCGUAAUACAUCAGCAUCCCUAAUACAAGUUUGGAUUGACUUGGCGUAAUAGACUAUUCGCUAAGGAUUCAAUGUUCUGCAUUGAGCCAACUUAAUUAAGGAAGCUUCUAAUUGAAAAGUCUACCUUUAGAUUAGAUCUCAAAUCAGGCAGGAUUACCCGCUGAACUUAA